ACCUAUAAAUAAAAAGCCUAUAUCAAUCAAAUUCAAUUAUAUUUUCUUCUUACUUUACGACUCUAUAGUUAAUUUAAUUGAUUAACUUAGAUUAACCCAUCGAUAUAGCCAUGCACGUCACUUUACUCUUGAUCUGUGCCGCAUUGGUAAACUGUCUGCCCUGUAAAAAACGUAUAUCAGACGAAUUCCAAUCUGGAAGGCGCAAUGAGAAUGAGGGAUAUCGUUACUAUUUCCACACUACUACAACUACAAGUCCGAGGCCUACAAGAAGUCCAAUUACUAUUAAGACAAUAACACCUAGAGGAAAGAUUUGCGCCCCCUAUGAAUUCAACGAGACGAUUUGCGAAUAUGUUGGGGAUAGAGAGCUAUGUGGUUUUAAUAAGAAUCCAGAGGUGGUGCAAAGUAAAUCAAACUCAAAAGCGCGGUACUUAUCUAAUGGCUGUUGGCUUAGAAAAGGCCGUGUCGAGUGCGGGUAUAAGGAACCAUUUGACACUAUACGCCGACCGCCUAUAGUAUACCCAAAUUUUUUUCGCCGGGAUGACGAUCAAAGCACCGUUCAUGCGAUUUUAAAUGGAAAAAAAUUGGUUAUAGUGACAAGUACUACAACAACAACUACCACUACAGAGGCACCGACUACGGUCUAUAAGGAAUGUGUAGAGAUUCAUUCACGAAUUGUUUGCCGUACUACUCGCGAGAGAGUUGUGGUGUAAUAUAUUUGUAUUAAAGUUAAGUAUUUUAUACAAAUCAU
Molecule: long non-coding RNA, 748 nt
Organism: Cydia fagiglandana
Lineage: Eukaryota; Metazoa; Arthropoda; Insecta; Lepidoptera; Tortricidae
Exons: 2
Source: RefSeq, a predicted model, not a curated record